GGGGCAGCAUUCUUAGCUUGCUAAGGCGAUGGCGACCGGCGCACGGGUGAGUAACACGUAUCCACCUGCCGUCUACUCUUGGACAGCCUUCUGAAAGGAAGAUUAAUACAAGAUGGCUUCACAUGUUUAAAGGUAUUCGGUAGACGAUGGGGAUGCGUUCCAUUAGAUAGUAGGCGGGGUAACGGCCCACCUAGUCUUCGAUGGAUAGGGGUUCUGAGAGGAAGGUCCCCCACAUUGGAACUGAGACACGGUCCAAACUCUACGGGAGGCAGCAGUGAGGAAUAUUGGUCAAUGGGCGAGAGCCUGAACCAGCCAAGUAGCGUGAAGGAUGACUGCCUAUGGGUUGUAAACUUCUUUUAUAAAGGAAUAAGUCGGGUAUGCAUACCCGUUUGCAUGUACUUUAUGAAUAAGGAUCGGCUAACUCCGUGCCAGCAGCCGCGGUAAUACGGAGGAUCCGAGCGUUAUCCGGAUUUAUUGGGUUUAAAGGGAGCGUAGAUGGAUGUUUAAGUCAGUUGUGAAAGUUUGCGGCUCAACCGUAAAAUUGCAGUUGAUACUGGAUAUCUUGAGUGCAGUUGAGGCAGGCGGAAUUCGUGGUGUAGC
Molecule: ribosomal RNA, 600 nt
Filed under: uncultured bacterium
Lineage: Bacteria
Description: bacterial SSU rRNA
Rfam family: Bacterial small subunit ribosomal RNA
Source: RNAcentral